Non-coding RNA from Apaloderma vittatum (bar-tailed trogon), 84 nucleotides. The record is from Rfam. NCBI's taxonomy places the organism in Eukaryota, Metazoa, Chordata, Aves, Trogoniformes, Trogonidae.
GGACUGGUUAGCUCAGUGGUUUGAGCGCGGGGCUGGCAAUAAGGAUCAACACUGAGGUCGCGGGUUCGAUUCCCGCUUGGUCCC